Molecule: ribosomal RNA, 468 nt
Filed under: uncultured bacterium
Lineage: Bacteria
Description: partial 16S ribosomal RNA
Rfam family: Bacterial small subunit ribosomal RNA
Source: RNAcentral
GACGAACGCUGGCGGCGUGCUUAACACAUGCAAGUCGAACGGAAAGGCCCUGCUUUUGUGGGGUUCUCGAGUGGCGAACGGGUGAGUAACCCGGGAGUCACCUGCCCUUGACUUUGGGAUAACUUCAGGAAACUGGGGCUACUACCUGAUAGGAGCUCCUGCUGCAUGGUGGGGGUUGGAAAGUUUCGGCGGUUAGGGAUGGACUCGCGGGUUAUCAGCUUGUUGGUGGGGUAGUGGCUUACCCAGGCUUUGACGGGUAGCCGGCCUGAGAGGGUGGCCGGCGACAUGGGGACUGAGAUACGGCCCAGACUCGUACGGGAGGCAGUAGGGGGGAAUCUUGCACAAUGGGCGGAAGCGUGAGGCAGCAACGCCGCGUGCGGGAUGACGGCUUUCGGGGUGUAAACCGCUUUAGCCUGUGACGAAGCGGGAGUGACGGUAAUGGGUAAAGAAGCACCGGCUAACUACGUG